UCGAAUGAGAGCGCAACAGUGGGCGCAACAGCACCCCGCUAAUAAGACAGGUCAAGGUAUAGCCUAUGGGACGGAAGAAAUGGGCUACAUUCCCUAUGCAUAGGGCAACACGGAAAGAAGUAUGAAACUGCUUCUAG
Molecule: ribosomal RNA, 137 nt
Filed under: Anas platyrhynchos (mallard)
Lineage: Eukaryota; Metazoa; Chordata; Aves; Anseriformes; Anatidae
Description: partial 12S small subunit ribosomal RNA
Source: RNAcentral